GACACCCUCAGGGGGGCGGGGCCGGGGGUUCACAAAUGCAUUAAUUAGAAUAAUGGCUUUUUGGCUGGGCGCGGUGACUCACGCCUGUAAUUCCAGCACUUUGGGAGACCGAGGCGGGCAGACUGCUUGAGUAGAGACAGGGUUUCACCAUAUUGGCCAGGCUAGUUUUAAAGUCCUGGCCUCAACUGAUCUGCUGCCUUGGCCUCCUAAAGUGACGGGAUUACAGAUGUGAGCCACCACAGAUUAGAGAUGAGGUUUCUCCAUGGCCUAGCUGGUCUCGAACUCCUGGCCUCAAGUGACCUGUCCUCCUCGGCCUUCCAAAGUGCUAGGAUUACAGUAGAGACGGGGUUUCACCAUGUCGACCAGGCUGGUCUCGAACUCCUGAUGUCAAGGGAUGCACCUGCCUUGGCCUCCCAAAGUGCUGGGAUUACAGCUCUCUGACACAGCUGGCUAUUCUAGUCCCAGAAGAAAGAGGAGAGACUUGCUGAAGAUCUGGAUGGGACAAUAGAAGUUUGGGGCACAUUAAAAAGAAGCAGCAAGAACAUCAACAAAAACCUCAGAUGAUUCAAACAGGCUUCUUCUUGGCUUUG
Molecule: long non-coding RNA, 590 nt
Filed under: Homo sapiens (human)
Lineage: Eukaryota; Metazoa; Chordata; Mammalia; Primates; Hominidae
Description: non-protein coding lnc-MYOZ1-1:1
Source: RNAcentral